UUGAACUAAAAUCAUAUCGAAUCGAAUUAAAACCGAAGAACCUAGAACUAUACUAAACUGAAACUGAAAUAAUAAAGAAUCGAAUCCAAACUGUACCUAAAUUUUAAAAUUUCAGUUUAGUUCUAAUUUCUAGAUAAAUUCCAAACUGAAUUAAAACUGAACACCCCUAAUUUCAAGGGCGCAAAGAAUCAGGCUGUAUUGUUAAAAAGAAUAAUAAUAAUAAUAAUAAUAAUAAUAAUAACCUUCCAUCGACUAUUCAUGAGCAAGGAAGAUUAAUGGUUGUCGCAGAAAAACAAUUUUAAUUAGCUCCGGGGAUAUAAGUUGCCAAGGGAAUUGAAUUAUAAUCGUGUAUCAUUUGAGGGUGAUACCAAGACCAAUGGCCAGAGUACAGCGGAAACGAUGUCCAAAUCAUGAGGAUACCAGACCACUCAACAAUGAUUUUUCUCAUCUUCAAUUUUUAUUUGGCUCGGCUCAUAUACGAACCGUGUUAAGCAUGAAAAUAAUACCAUCUCUCUCUAAGAAAGCUCUCACCUCUUUCCAAACAGCCUUUGUUUUUAGAGUAGUCCAGGGGAGUUCCGGCCAUUUUGGCCGUCGAUCCUCCCCCACCCCUUUGUUCAGUUUGCUUUUAUUUGGUUUUUUUAGUUUUCUUCCUGUAGUUUUGUUUAGUUUUCUCAGCCUCUUGUUUUGGAGCCUCAGUGCCUUUCUUCAAUGGGGAUUUAGUUACGUUAUGGGGGUUGCUCCUCUGAUGCUUAUUGUGAUGCUGCUAGAAGCAGUUUGGCUGGCAAGAUUGGAAGUUCAGCACUGAUGAGGUCAUCUCUUCAGUCAGGAAUUCGCAUGCAAGGUCUUGGAUGUGCCAAACGUUUUUCCGAUCCGUCCGGCAUGGUCCAGGUUUUCACUUCUGCCAAGCUUCUCUCCUUCUAAAGGACGCUAAAGUGAUGCCAGUGAAGGAGGCUUUCAAGUCAACUGCUGCUGAAAUUGCUAAUCGGAUCUUACCCGUUCAGCCUAGAGUUCCAUAUUUAUUAGGUUUAAGCCCUCUUUCCCUGUACUUGAGUUAGGUGAGAGUAGUUUGUAGCUAUUUCUUUUAUUGUCUUGGGCCUCAUAAACAUAUUUCACCUGAUGAAACACCUUUUCUGGUAAAAAAAAAAAAAGUCUACAGAUCCAGUCACUUCAGUUUUUGAGUAGUGUUCUAAACUUCUAAUAAGAACGCACCCAGCCGUGCUAUCUUUGUGUUUUC
Hevea brasiliensis (rubber tree) is the source of this 1234-nucleotide long non-coding RNA. RefSeq lists it as uncharacterized. The record is from RefSeq and is a predicted model, not a curated record. The transcript is spliced from 2 exons. Lineage: Eukaryota; Viridiplantae; Streptophyta; Magnoliopsida; Malpighiales; Euphorbiaceae.